This 383-nucleotide transfer-messenger RNA is filed under the name Candidatus Roizmanbacteria bacterium. It matches the Rfam family "transfer-messenger RNA". From Rfam's summary of the family: Bacterial tmRNA, also known as 10Sa RNA or SsrA, is named for its dual tRNA and mRNA-like properties. Its role is to liberate the mRNA from a stalled ribosome. The record is from RNAcentral. Lineage: Bacteria; Candidatus Roizmaniibacteriota.
GGGGAUGCCAGGCAUCGACGGGAAAUUUGCACUUUUAAAAAUGGCUUAGACGCACCUAUGCGUUAAAUGGAAAAAAUUAACUGAUAAUCAACUAUCAGAACGUCUUGAGUACGAACAAGCACUUGCUGGAAGGCAAUUUGCUUUUUUGUCAGCUUAAGGCCCUCUCUUUUGAUUUUGUCCGAUUCAAUCUAUAGAGGGGUAAACCAAUCGGAAUAGGGUGAGAUAACAUUUCUAGUUGGUUAUCAAACCGACAAAUAUAACUGGCUUCCCGAAGCGCUUUGAUUACACAAGCGGCCGGGAUAGAGUAAAAAUAAUCUAUUCUAAGCUAAACCUUUUUAAGAGUGUUUUCUCGGACGCGGGUUCAACUCCCGCCAUCUCCACCC